Long non-coding RNA from Cucumis sativus (cucumber), 3656 nucleotides. RefSeq lists it as uncharacterized. The transcript has 4 exons. NCBI's taxonomy places the organism in Eukaryota, Viridiplantae, Streptophyta, Magnoliopsida, Cucurbitales, Cucurbitaceae. The record is from RefSeq and is a predicted model, not a curated record.
GAGUUUUUUCUCAGAUAUGUGCACUCUAUCCAGGAACUCCUCGUAAGGAACUUCCGACAGAAAGAGAGUGGCUGGAAUGUAGCUCAAUUGCAAUAGCAACUUCUCGACUCUCUGCAUGACCAUGUAGAAAUGACAUUAUAUGAGUUGAAGUACAUGGCCAUUUCUAGACAAUACAGAGUUGUCCUAUCUGUGACGAAUUGGCUCGCUUGAACUGGAUCUUUGGGAUCAAAGGAAGAUCUCCAAUUGUUGAGAAUACCAGUUCUAUUUAUUAGAACAAAACCUUCGAUAUAAUCAAAGGAAUAUUUGGAGGAUAUCAGAUGCUCCUGGUCCUUGGAGAAUAUGGCAAAGUCUGAAUACAAGGGUAUAUUACCAUUUUUGGUGCUAAUUCUAGAGAUAUCCUCGCCCUUGUGAUGAUGCCGAACUGACCAAGGCCUCCAAGUACACUGUAAAACAAGUCUGAAUUCUCUUGCUCUGAACAGACUAGCUGUUUCUGAAAACAAUAUGUAUAAACAUAUAUUAAAAGGAGAGGAGCUGAUUGUCGGGUGAUUCCUAUUAAAAGCAAUGUAAGUUGUUUUGAAUGGUAUUGAUUCUGUUAUUUUCUUUUCUUUGAGAAAAGUCAAUUGACGAAGUGAAAUGAACUGAAGCAAGUUAAAAGGCACAGUGGUGAGUUGAAAUGGACCAUCUGGAAUUCCUUGGGGAUGUUGAUGUAUGCAAACUGGUCCAAAGUUUUAAAGGUAUUUGAUCAUUAUAGGUAAGGUGUCAUGUGGGUCCCUGAACAUGUGAUCGCCACAAGGAGCCACAGGUACAACAAUUUUCCUCACUCUCACCUUCUCUCUCGAUAUUAAAUUUUCAAGAAAACCAUAAUUUCCAUAGCUCCUAUAGGAGACAUGUUUAGUUCUGUACUUUACAUGCCUUGCAAUAUCUUACUCUCUCUCUCUCUCUACAUUAAGAAAUUUGAUUGGGAGAACAUUAGUUAGGACAGAAGUUAGAAUUUUGCUACGAAAUCUUUGCAUUCUUUCUGUAAGUGCAGGGUUUUCUUUUAUAGUAAUACCAUGUAGGAGGGAAAAUGGUUGGGAACAGAUGGGUAUGUGAGGUGAGGCAUAUAAAAUAAUGAAGCAGUAACAAAAUAGUACAAUUAUUGUUUAAGUUGUCUCUACUAGAGUCCCAGGGUUGUUGCAGAAGCUUUAAAGAAAACUCGGCAAAGACCUUGUGGUUAGAAAGCAACUUGGUCGUUCUACUAAGUUCUAUACAUGACAUCCUCUUUUCACAAGCUGCAUUGAUGUUGAUGUGCUUUGGCCUUUUGAAUGAUGAUAUAUCACAAUGACCUUUUGAUUGACAAUACCAUUUCAAAUAAACGAUUUCAUGAGAUGAUGACAUGAUAGUAAUGAUACUAAAACAGGCUUAGAAAUGUAGUUUUUUCUUCUAAGAAGCUUUAAUUCCAUAAGGGAGUUUUAAUUUUAGGACAGCAUUUAAUUCCUUGUAUGUGUUAUUAUUAAUGCUCUUUUUCUCUUAGUCCCUACAUCUUUGUAAAGAAAAGAUUCACCUUUUUAAUAUUGGAUCUCUCAGAGAUUGGACUCUGCCUCUGUGGCCCUUCCUCAAUAAUGCAACCUUUGUCAAUGAGUAUCAAAUCUUGUCAUGGGGUAGAUGCUUCUUUCGAUGCCUCAUAUUUCAUAGUAUCAAGAUUUUAUACUCAUUUUUCAUAGUUUGCUUGAUUUUAUUUUUUUCUAAAAUCCAAAUUUAUUUAUUAAUGUUAUAAAUAGGAAAAAAAUACCUUUUGUUGUCCCAAUGAUUUAGUCUUUAUUUGUUCCUUAGAUUUCAAAUGCUACACAUUUAGAUUGACCUAUUCAGCCCACAAACUUCUUGAGUUGGCCAAUUCAAUAGUAAACAUCGUUGAAGUUUUCACAUUUAUCACUCCGUAAUUUGAUAUUUUAAUCUUUUUCUAUCUGUAUUUUGAAAUUUCUUCUUCUCAUCUAUAUACUUUUCAUAUUUAUUUUUAUUGGGUAAUUUUUCCCUUUUGUUUUACUUUACCAAUAUUAAGUGAGAUUUUAUAAGUGUAACUUUUGGACCCAAAUGAAACAAAUUUCUAAUUUCAAGAGUAAAAUUCGUAAUGCUCUUGAAGUUUGGGUAAAAUUUUGAAAGUUAGAGAUUAAAUUGAAGUUAAAUUAAAAACUUGAAAGGACCACAUAAAAAGUAAAUUCAAAAUGAUAUUUCGGAAUUAAAGUAGAUAUAAGCAAUUCCAUAAUGUUUGAAUAUAUGUCCAUCACUCUCAUGUAUUUCUCCAAGAAAUUCUGCAAGGCAUUAUGAUCUUACAAUGUAUAUACACAGUUGGGCAGGAUCUUACUUUCUUGAUCUCUACUUGCUCUAUGAUUGCUUCUGUUGGGAUUUUCUUCUUGUUUUUCCUUUAGUUUUGUAACAUGUUACAACCGAGCAAGAUCCUCUGCUCUUUUUAUUUGAUAAAGUGUACAGUUUUGUUUUUAUUUCUUUUGUAUAUGACAGAUUGCAUUAUAUAUUUCGUGAGGUCAUUUAUUGGAGGGAUAAAGAAUAAAAUCCCAAUCAUGGCAUGGUUGGAUGAGUGCGUUUGGAUUGGUUGAGACACAAAUCUAAAUUUACCAUUUAGAUUACUCAUCAAGUUUACUGCUUUCUUUAUAUUUAGAUUACAUUAUCAGGUAUCCUGUUCUCUCUUUAAAUUUAUUUUUUUAUAAUUUGACUCAAAUAUUAACUCUCAAUAUACUUUAUGAAAAUUGUACCUUUGAUAUCUACUUGACAAGAUUAAAACAAAAUGUGGCCUAUCACUUCAAUACUUAUUUUAACUAGUCUUGCUUGUGUCAUCGCUGUCGGAGUAAAGUAAUGGAAUCGACCCAAUCGACCUGUUGGGUAUGUGUGUUGGUACUUAAAUUGCAAUUUCAUUAUUGUUGGGUUCAAACCUCUCAAUUUCAUAGCAAUAAUAAGCAGAAAAAAUAACAUAGAAACUAAAGGAAUUAGAAUGCACAUGAAAAUAUCUCAUACUGGAGAAAAAUAUUACUAUGUAAAAAAUUGUUACAUUCACAUUAGAUUUUUUUGCUUCCUGUUUUCAAUUAACAACAUAAAAGUUUUGACUACUACCAUCUUUUUUAUUCUUAAAUUAAAAAUAGCUUAAUCGAUUAAAUAGGUUAUUUACGUAGGUUUGGAGUCAUUCACCUUCCUACGAAAUAUUUAUGUGGGAGUUACACAUUCUACAUCUUGUCAUGUCGAAUUCAACACAUUCUCUCUUGGCAAGAUGUUUGAAGAAUUCACAACAAUUAACUCAUAGAAUCAUAAAUUAUCCACCAUAGAAAGUAAACUACUAGGAGUACCACAUUUCAAGAAUUUUUCUUUUUCCUUGCACAUGGAUAAGACUUGCUGAAAUUUAUAUAGUGCAAUUUUCACUUGCUUGACUUUACUUGGAAGUCCUUCAACCAUUAUCAUAAUUUUUACCAUACACUUUGUAUAACUAUCAGGUCGACUUCACCUCUUUUAUCAUGGUUAAGGGGACGUUUAUGGCGAUGGAGACAACAUUACAUCCAACUCAGAACCCUUUGACAAAUCUACUCUAUUUGGACAGUUUUUUCUCAUGUGUUCAUAUUGUCUCUAAUUUCAGCAAAUUAAACUAUAUUUUGUAUGAACUUUUCCUUCUUCCA